GGCAACUUGGCCGAGUGGUCUAAGGCGCUAGACUCAAGUUCUAGUUCAGAGAUGAGCGCGCGUUCGAAUCGCGCAGUUGUCA
RNAcentral lists this transfer RNA (82 nucleotides) under Clonostachys rhizophaga. It matches the Rfam family "tRNA". Rfam says of the family: Transfer RNA (tRNA) molecules are approximately 80 nucleotides in length. Their secondary structure includes four short double-helical elements and three loops (D, anti-codon, and T loops). RNAcentral also lists the same sequence under 2 other names. The record is from RNAcentral. Lineage: Eukaryota; Fungi; Ascomycota; Sordariomycetes; Hypocreales; Bionectriaceae.